UGCCAGCCGCCGCGGUAAUACGAAGGGUGCUAGCGUUGUUCGGAAUUACUGGGCGUAAAGCGCACGUAGGCGGCAAUGUAAGUUGGGGGUGAAAUCCCAGGGCUCAACCCUGGAACUGCCUCCAAAACUACUAGUCUUGAGUUCGAGAGAGGUGAGUGGAAUUCCGAGUGUAGAGGUGAAAUUCGUAGAUAUUCGGAGGAACACCAGUGGCGAAGGCGGCUCACUGGCUCGAUACUGACGCUGAGGUGCGAAAGUGUGGGGAGCAAACAGGAUUAGAUA
Molecule: ribosomal RNA, 279 nt
Filed under: uncultured bacterium
Lineage: Bacteria
Description: partial 16S ribosomal RNA
Rfam family: Bacterial small subunit ribosomal RNA
Source: RNAcentral